UUACUCGGUUCCCCCAGCGCUAGGCUUUCAACACACUGUCCAGGAGGUCCCUUUUAGAGGUAGUCCGGCAGGUAUUGCACCCUAUGCAUCUGAAAUACGGGAGUUAAAAGAGAUUCUUAAAAGUCAGCAAGAGCAGUUGAAUCAGCUCGCAAAGAGUCUUGCUGCUUUGAAUAGUGCUUCCACACCAUAUCCUGCCUCACGUAAUAAGGCUGUCAUUUGCAGACGGUGCCAGAAGGUUGGGCAUUUUGCCAGAGAGUGCCCUGGUGAGCCCACAGUCAUGCCUGUGCAGUCAGCUGGUACAGCAACGCAAGUCAGUUUAAGUGAUGUUGGCUGUUCUUCCAUGCAGGAAAACUUCCACCCCCUGAACCAUUGAGCCGAGAUUCAGGUGGGGGCAUCCUAGGCUCAGAGUCUGUACUACCUGACCCGUUGCUGCAGGUUACUGGUAGGAAACCAGUAACUGGUAGGAAACCAGUAACCCCUGCUGUCAAAACCAUUACUUCGGUCUUUCCUGGGUACGCACUGUCUGACCUUCGUAUGUUGCAGGAGACGGACCCCGUGAUCCGGGAGUUUCUGCAAUUUUGGAGGCUGAGGCGGGGCCCUGACGCUAAGGAGCGUGGUCGCACUUCAAGGCUGGCCCUCGGAUUGGUCAGGCAAUGGCGUCGGUUAGUGGAGCAGGGUGGUGUGUUAUAUCGGAAGGUCUGUCAUCCAAGGAGAGGAGAGACACUGCAGGUAUUGCUGCCCAAGUCCCUUCAGGGUCAAGUUUUGCAACAUGUGUGCCAGGAGCAUGGUCAUCAGGGUGUUUGGAGCACGGUAGAUGUGGUUUCUCAAUGGUGCUACUGGGUAGGGAUGUAUAGAGACAUCCAACGGUGGUACCAGGAGUGUGAGCGAUGCCAUUUGGCUAAGGAUGCACCAACCCAUCGUAAUGUGUGUGGGGGCCAUUUGCCUGCACCCCAACCGAAACAAACCCCUGUAGCUGAUUGGCGUAAGAUGCGCCACGACCAGCAAGCAAAGGAUGCUCCCCUGCGAGAAGGUCAGUUGGUCUAUCUGAAGAAAGUUGGACUCGGAGGUUGUGAUAAAAGUAAGGGUGCUAUGAGUUCAUUGGCGUAUAAAGUGCUAAAGGCCCCUCACCAAAAUGGGUCCAUGUAUACUACUGCCCCUGUAGAAGAACCGAUGCACGGUGGCGAGUGGUUUUUAUUGGUCUCGGAACCUACUCCAGCCCCAAGCAGUUGCCAACAAAGACCAGAGACUCCUAGCCCUCGUAGGUCAGAUGAGCUAGAACCCUCAACGUCCUCCGCGGGGUCGGCCUGCCCUGACCAGCUGCCAGUUAUGGCUGGUGUUCAUAACGAUAUAGCCCCUUUACGUAGGACUAAUCGUGGUAAUGCUGGGACGCACCCAAAUCCGCACCAUUUGCCCCAGGCAGCAGGAAGUAGAGCAAUAGAGGCCGUGAACUCACAGGCACCUGUGCCUACUACAGUUACCCUGUUUAGACCUUGGCAGUGAGUGUCAAUCGUCGGGACGACGAUUCAAAUCUCGGGGGUAGAUUGUAGUGAAGUAGAUUUUGGGUUGGGAUGUUACAUGAUGUCCCUAAACGCACCACUGACAUCCACACCUUUCAGCCGACAAUUACCUGGCUAUAAGAAACAGCUGCGCUUCAAUACUGAGAGAAGGCAUUUGGCAGUCUUGGCAAUCUAAGGUGGCUGCAGCACUAGGCAGUUGAGCUCCACAUAUCUCUUAAGGAAAGCUACUCAGUUGCCCUUAGAGAGUGUGCUGAAUCAUCAGGCAGCUCCACUGUGAACUAUACCUCCACCCUCUUCUCCUCCUGGGCGUGGACAGCAGCGAGGAUGCACAUAAAAAGAGAUGGAUGGAGAAAGCAGCAGUGUCCUCAACAGACAAUCUGUCCACCUGCAGCAAGAUCACCAGAGAGCCUCCUGAACAGCAGCCUUCAUCCUCCUCAUCCUCCAUCAGACCUGCAGAAGAAUCGAGAAGUGACUCUUCACCCACAGCACAGUUCCCUGUCGGCUGACUGGCUCCCUACAAGAUGCUCCGCCCCCUGCUCUUCCUGUCUGCUC
Long non-coding RNA from Oreochromis aureus, 2069 nucleotides. Lineage: Eukaryota; Metazoa; Chordata; Actinopteri; Cichliformes; Cichlidae. The record is from Ensembl.